RNAcentral lists this ribosomal RNA (405 nucleotides) under uncultured Desulfosporosinus sp. RNAcentral's name for it is "bacterial SSU rRNA". It matches the Rfam family "Bacterial small subunit ribosomal RNA", at positions 355 to 774 of the family's 1533-position model. The record is from RNAcentral. Lineage: Bacteria; Bacillati; Bacillota; Clostridia; Eubacteriales; Desulfitobacteriaceae.
UGGGGAAUCUUCCGCAAUGGACGAAAGUCUGACGGAGCAACGCCGCGUGAGGGAUGAAGGCUCUCGGGUUGUAAACCUCUGUCUUCAGGGAAGAAAAAAAUGACGGUACCUGAGGAGGAAGCCCCGGCUAACUACGUGCCAGCAGCCGCGGUAAUACGUAGGGGGCAAGCGUUAUCCGGAAUUAUUGGGCGUAAAGGGCGCGUAGGCGGGUAUUUAAGUCAGAUGUGAAAACCCAGAGCUCAACUCUGGACGUGCAUCUGAAACUGGAUAUCUUGAGGACAGGAGAGGAAAGUGGAAUUCCUAGUGUAGCGGUGAAAUGCGUAGAUAUUAGGAGGAACACCAGUGGCGAAGGCGACUUUCUGGACUGUAACUGACGCUGAGGCGCGAAAGCGUGGGGAGCAAACA